This 446-nucleotide ribosomal RNA is filed under the name uncultured Anaerolineaceae bacterium. RNAcentral's name for it is "bacterial SSU rRNA". It matches the Rfam family "Bacterial small subunit ribosomal RNA", at positions 335 to 797 of the family's 1533-position model. The record is from RNAcentral. Lineage: Bacteria; Bacillati; Chloroflexota; Anaerolineae; Anaerolineales; Anaerolineaceae.
UUCCCUACGGGGGGCUGCAGUAGGGAAUAUUGGUUAAUGGGCGAAAGCCCGACCCAGCAACGCCGCGUGCACGAAGAAGGCCUUCGGGUUGUAAAGUGCUUUUUAGUGGGAUGAGGAAGGACAGUACCACUAGAAUAAGUCUCGGCUAACUACGUGCCAGCAGCCGCGGUAACACGUAGGAGACGAGCGUUAUCCGGAUUUACUGGGUGUAAAGCGCGUGCAGGCGGUCGGGUAAGUUGGAUGUGAAAGCUCCUGGCUUAACUGGGAGAGGUCGUUCAAAACUGCCGGGCUAGAGUGCAACAGAGGGGAGUGGAAUUCCGAGUGUAGCGGUAAAAUGCAUAGAUAUUCGGAAGAACACCAGUGGCGAAGGCGGCUCUCUGGGUUGCAACUGACGCUCAGACGCGAAAGCUAGGGUAGCGAACGGGAUUAGAUACCCCUGUAGUCGG